CCGUUGAUUGACUUUGGAGGUUCCCUUGAAUUGAUGAUUCUCAGAUUUCUAUGUCCAGAUCUAAUCUCUGUCUUGAACUCCUAUCCAGCAUUACCAACUGGUUAUUGGACAUCUCCAACUAAAUAUACCGUGGACAUCUCAAACUCAAUAUGUUCAAAGUCAAACUCAAUAAUCACCACCUAAACUUCUUGACCUAGAACAUAAGUUUCUUGAGCACAGGUAGAUCUCUCAAAGAGCAAUGGAGAUGGGCACAGUGGGCAGGAGUGGGCUAUUGCCCACAGGAAACCUAGGAUCAAAGGCACCAAAAGCAAACUAUAUGAUUGGCUGUCAUAGAGGAACAGGCCAGUCAUAGAGUAAAAGUUAUAAACUACCUUCCUCCAGUCUUGGUAUCCAUACAAUGUGAAGAAAUAUGGAAGAAGGCCCCUGAUAUAUUGGGACUCCCUCUACUCCCUGAAGAAUAUUAAUGGUAAGAGCCACAAAAGAGUAGAAGGCAUGAA
Non-coding RNA from Phascolarctos cinereus (koala), 497 nucleotides. NCBI's taxonomy places the organism in Eukaryota, Metazoa, Chordata, Mammalia, Diprotodontia, Phascolarctidae. The record is from RefSeq and is a predicted model, not a curated record.